This 21500-nucleotide long non-coding RNA is filed under the name Medicago truncatula (barrel medic). Its description in RNAcentral is "long non-coding RNA (MTRU_LNC003685)". The record is from RNAcentral. Lineage: Eukaryota; Viridiplantae; Streptophyta; Magnoliopsida; Fabales; Fabaceae.
AUUGCGCCAGCACCAUUGCAUGCAACUUGACCAGAUGCACAAUCGGCAGUGGCACAAGUAAACUGUCCGUUGUUGGUUGAGCAUCCGGUUCGGGCCCAAAAUCGACCUGACCAUGGGGAAGGAAUUUCCGCUGAGUUCGUUGCUCCAGGUCCUAACUCGAAACCUGUUGUUGAUAGCUGAGGUUUUUGGUCUCCGGUUAAGGUUCCUGGCCAUACGGUGUAUCCACAUCUAUUCGUGAAUGUUACCGUGGCUCCUCUAGCAGCUGCAUACAAAAAUUAAAUUUUUACACAAGUAUUAUAAAUUUUCAUUAAUGCAUAUAUAUAUAUAUAUAUAUAUAUAUAUAUAUAUAUAUAUAUAUAUAUAUAUAUAUAUAUACCCACUAGUUUUUAUGUGGGAUGUUUUAGCAAAGCUACACCUUAAGGUGUGUUUAACCACUUUUUAGUUAUUCACUUGCUAAAAUACUCCUUCUAAAAAAUAAGUGGGUGUAUUCUAGCAAAUGCCUAUAGGAUUGAUUUGCUAGAACACACCCACUUGUUUUUUAGAAGGUGUGUUAUAGCAACAUACACCUUAAGGUGUAUUUAUUAACUUUUUAGUCAUAACUUGCUAAAACACUCCCACAUAAAAACUAGUGGGUGUGUUCUAGCAAAUCCAUAUAUAUAUAUAUAUAUAUAUAUAUAUAUAUAUAUAUAUGAUUCAAACAUUUAAGAAUUUAAAGAAUUUAGGUGAGAUCUACGCUAUCAAUAUCAUUAAAGAAUUUAAGGUAAGUUAUAAAAAAAUCACGUGUAAAUUAACAAGUAGUACUCACAAACUAACUUUCAUUUUUUUUUUUGCAAAUUUCUUCAAAGGUAAGCUAGAAAUAUAUAUAUAUAUAUAUAUAUAUAUAUAUAUAUAUAUAUAUAUUAUAAAAAAUUAUUUUGCAAGAUUGUAUAAAUAUACUUUUACAUACAUAAUGAAUAUAAUAACCGAUAGUAUUUAGAUAACUACAAGAAAAAAAAAAUGUGAUAAAGAAAACAAGGAAAUAAAGGAAAUUUAGAAAGCAAUACAUAAAAGAUAACGAGUAUAAAUCUAAGGACUAUGUAGAUUUACUACGCAGAUUUUAUAAGCAAAAUAUAUAUCAUUUUUAAAACUGAUCUAAAUGAAUUCAUUAAGCUUAUGGAAAAUGUAGUGGAAAUGAAAUGAAAUAUACCAUAGAAGAGGAAUGCAAAGCUAAGGCAGAGAGCAACACGUGUAAUCGCCAUAUUCUUGUUAUUGGUUUAUCUUUUUGGAUUGCAGUUUUGUAAGUGAUGAAAAUUGCUAUCUGCUUCUUGCCAAUUUAUAAGUUUGGAGGGUUGAAUCUUCAACGAUCAAUAUUUGAUUCAGUCAAUAAAAAUGGAGAAGUAUUUGUUUGGACCUUAUGGAACAAAUUUACGGGAGUUUAUAUUUAACCUCCAUGUGUAUAGAAAACAAAAAUAUUCAGCCACCAUAUAGAUUGGAAAAGUCUCAAAUCUUAAUAGAUAUUUUCCUUGUACAUUUAUUGUUGAAGAAACAUAAUAGAUUGAAAUAGUUAAUUAAUUUAUUUAUUUAUUUACGUUUAUAUAUCAAGUAGUUGAAAGGAUUUAUUGAAGAUCGGUUCAAUUGAUAUAUUUGGUGGGAAAAUAAUACAGAUUUAUUUAUUGGAUAAUAUUAACACAAUUUCUAUAUUUAGUUAUGAUAUAAGUAUUAUAUAUAUUUUUUUUCAAUUAUUCCAAACACAAUUUCAUUCUAUUGAAUUAUUUUGUAACCCAAAAAAAAAAAGAUUCCUGUCACAAAUAAGCUAUAAAUGAAUCUAUUAAACAUUAGGCAGAAAUAAGACCAAACUUGUCUAUGCACAAUUAUCAUAAGCAAUUCUAAAGACAUAUCACAAUUUCAUAAUCCAAACCAUCAUUUAUCAAGCACUGAACUGAAUUAUAAUUGGUAUUGAACAUUGCAUUAAUCUGGCAAAAAAAUAAAAGGGAUUUGAAGAAUCUUAAUCACCGUCAAACAUUUAAAUCAAACUGGCCUCUACUUUUUCGCAAUCAAAACUAUUACUUUCAUCAUGCAUACAAUUCAAAAUUGCAGUCCAUAAACCCUUUUAGUGCUUUUAUAAUCAAUAAGUUUAGUUAAUCGUAGAAUUGACGACAAUCUCAAUGAAGGCUAACCUAUCACUUUAUCACAUAUUAGAGUUUGAUGCACUUUUCAAAUUUGUUAUCAACAUACUUCCUCCACCCAUUUCACUUUUCAAUAUAAUAUUAAUUUAUUUUUUUUUUCAUUUAUAGCUAUAAGUAAUAUUACUUUCACCAUUUUCAAUUCAAUAUAUUCCACUUUGCAUUUAUGAUAAUAGUAAAUGAACCAAUACUUAAUAAGAGCACUUAAAAUCAUUUUUCUCUCUCCUUCACUUAUACAUUUUUCGUAAUAAGUGUGAAUUGAACAAAUGACUCACUUAAUUUAGGAUGGAGAGAGUACUAUAUAACCUAAAUUAUCCUAUACAAUAUAUAAUUGUUAUCCUACAAAUUAUUUGUUUUUUUUUUGGGUAACCGAGUGAGAUGAAUAUUUUUAUGCUCUUGUGAUAACCAAAUGGAAAAAUGAAGUUGUUAACUUGGAAUGUACGGGGGUUGGAGAAGAGGAGGGAGGUGUGGUUGUUGGUGGGGGAGAAGCGGCCUUACAUUCUUGCAAGAAACUAAGUUAUUAACUUGUGAUGAUUCAGUGUUUCUUCAUUGUGGGGAAAUUCGAGUCAUGCUUUCUAAUUUCGUCCUUCAGUGGGGGCGUCGGGAGUGGGGGGAGGGGGGGUUGCUGACAUUGUGGGACAAUUCAGAGGUGGAGGUGUGGUCUUCUUUUAGUCCAGAGCAUGUGCUUAUAAUUCAUGGUAGGUUUAUCCGAACAAAUGAGGUGUUUUAUUUGUUUAAUGUUUAUGCUCCUUGUGACUUAAGAGCAAAACAAAAGUUAUGGACAUCUUUAUCAGAGAGAUUCAGAUAUUAAGGGGGGAAAAAAUUUGUGUGUGCGUGGAGACUUUAAUGCAGUCAAAUGUGCAGAUGAAAGACGCCUGUUAGGGGGGUGGUGGUACGCAGGACAACCCCUCUUUCAAUCAGUUUAUUGAUUAAAAUGUGUUGAUAGAUUUACCUUUAUGCAGCCGCAGAUAUACGUGGUUCAAGGGUGAUGGUCUCUCUAUGAGUAGGAUUGAUCGGUUUUUAUUGUCUGAGGAGUGGUGUCUACAACAGACUAAUUGUGUUCAGGUAGCCAUUCUUCGGGGUUUGUCUGAUCAUUGUUCGUUACAGUUGUUUGUAGAUGAGAAAAAUUGGGGUCCUCGUCCUUCACGUAUGUUGAAAUGUUGGCAGGAUAUGUCAGGGUAUAAGAAAAUUGUGUGUGAUAAAUGGAAAUCUUUUCAGAUUGACGGAUGGGACGGCUAUGUGUUAAAAGAGAAACUGAAAUUAAUUAAGUUGGUUCUGAAAGAGUUUCUAAAAAUAUUCCAGCAAGGAUUGAGUCUCUAAAAAAUCGUUUAUCAGUGUUUGAUGGGAAAGGGGAGGGCGCAGGGUUGUCACCAGAAGAAAUAGUAGACAUGAGGAGUGUAACACAUGAGAUUCAUUCUCUGUCUCGUGUUAACACUAGCAUUGGUUGACAGCAAAUGCAGUUACUUUGGUUGAAGGAUGGUGAUGCUAAUUCUAAGUAUUUUCAUUCGGUGUUGUCUAGUCGAAGGAGACGUAAUUCCAUUGUCUCUCUUUCGGUGAACGACACUCUGGUGGAAGGAUUUUAACCUCUUAAAACUCUAUCUCAUGUGGAGGGAGGGGGCUUGGUAAAACCUUUUUCAGUUGAUGAAGUUAAGGCUGCGGUGUGGGAUUGUGAUAGUUAUAAGAGUCUCGGACCGGAUGGUGUUACUUUUGGCUUCAUUAAGGAGUUUUGGAAUGAUUUAAAGGAGGAUGUCAAGCGAUUUAUUACUAAGUUUCACAGGAACGUAAAAUUGUCAAGAGGUAUAAAUACUACUUUUAUAGCUCUUAUUCCCAAAGUUGAUAGUCCUCGGCAUUUAAAUGAUUUCCGAUCUAUUUCCUUGGUUGGUUGUCUGUACAAAAUUUUGACAAAAGAGCUAGCAAACCGAUUGAGACUGGUUGUGGGAAGUGUAAUUUCAGAGACUCAGACUGCUUUUGUAAAAGAUAGAAAAAUUCUAAAUGGAAUCUUUAUUGCUAAUGAGGUAGUAGAUGAGGCCCGUAAGUCUAAGAAGGAGUUGAUGCUAUUUAAAGUGGACUUCGAAAAAGCCUACGAUUCGGUCGAUUGGGGGUAUCUGGAUGCAGUAAUGUGUAAAGUUUGUUUACAAAAGGAGCAUUGUGGUUUGGGGGUGAGGAAGUUGCGGGAGUUUAAUCUUGCAUUGUUAGGAAAGUGGUGUUGGAGGUUGUUGGUUGAUAGAGGAGGUUUAUGGUAUAUGGUGUUGGUUGCUAGGUAUGGUGAGGAGGCAGGGAGGUUGAAGUGUAGGGUUUUACUUAACAAUAUUGUUUUGUAGCCUAAUGUAUCUAACAGGUGGCACUGGCAUCCCGACAUUGAGGGGGGUUACACAGUGCGUGGAGCUUAUCAAAUUCUCACUUCUCAGGUUUCCACUAGUGUUGAUGUCACGGAGGUCCUUAUCUGGCAUAAGCAGGUACCCUUGAAGGUCUCUAUUCUUGCUUGGUGAUUUUUGCGAGACAGGUUGUCGACAAAAACCAACUUACUGCACCGUGAAAUUAUCUUAUUCGAGGCUAGCAUGUGUGUUGCGGGGUGCGGACAUGUCGAGUUUGCAUCAUAUUUGUUUCUGCAUCGCGAUAUAUUUGGAUCAUUAUGGCAGCAUGCCAGGUCUUGGUUUGGUGUUUCAGGAGUAGAACCACAUAGUAUUCGAGAUCAUUUUAUUCACUUUACUCAUUAUCUAGGUGGUUUGAAGGCGAGGUGCUCUUUUCUUCAACUUUUAUGGCUUCUUUGCAUUUGGUUAGUUUGGAAUGAACGUUAUAACAUGUUAUUAAAUAAUAUCCAAACUCCCAUCAUAGAUCUUAGGAAAAAGUUAAGUAUACUUCUUAUUGGUGGUUGAAGGCUAAUAAUGUCACUUUUGUAUAUGGCUCUCAGUGAUGGUGGUCGGACCCAUUGUUAUGCUUGGGUAUCGGCUGACUGUAGUUUUUGUACCUAUAUACCUGACUGAUUGUAUUUUGGAGUGUCCUUUUUAGUACACCUUGUGCUAUUGAGGUUCCACCAUCUCGUUGUUAAUAUAUUUUAUUUUUGAUUCUUCAAAAAAAAAAAUGGAAAAAUGGAGAGGAGAAGGAAGGAUAAGUUGUAAGGUUUACCGAUUUAUAUGAAAUAAAUAAAAAUCAGAUUUUGAGAAAGAAAAAAAACAUUUGGUUUCGAAUGAGAUUUUUAUCUAUCAUGAGGUACAUCUUGGUGAAGCUCUAGGAUUGUUAUCAACAUUAGAUUGGACUCAUGACUUGAAUUUAUGAUCUAUUUAUUUUGAGCUUGAUGCUAAAAAGGUGGUGAAUAGUUUUUCAUCCUCAAUGCAUGAUGUCACGUAGUUUGUGAUGAUCAUCCAAAAUUGUAAAGAUAUUUCAAAACAAUAUUAUGUUAACUCCAGUGUUGAGUUUGUAAGGAAUUAAGCAAAUAAGACAACCAAUAGUUUAGCUAAGACGGCCAUAUCUUCUGCUAGUUUCAAAUAUGGAUAAAAAUGCCAAAUUGUAUUGAGCUCAUUAUCACUAAUGAAAUGCUAUAAAUUUCGUCCUUUAAAAAAUGUUUUUCGUGUGAUUCUCCACCAAAUUUUAACCAUCCCAUGGCUUAAUGGAAGUGAACGGGUCUAUAUUAUUAUUGAAUUAGAUGUAAGUUUAUCAUUAAUUCCACUAUAUUACUGAAAUAAUUAAAAGUGACGGUGAUUAAGGAAAAAUGGUGGUAAUUAAAUUUCUCAUUAUAGCACUCAUUUCGUCUCAAAUUAGGUGUUAUUUUCCUUAAUUUUCGUUGUCUCAAAUUAUUUGUCCAUUGGUUCCGCUAGAGCAGCAUAGUCCUUCAAAUAGCUCUACCCACUCUGAGGCGAUCUCUACUACUUACAAGUUAGCUGCCCUUGAUCAUCCAUCUUCAGGCUUCACUCGAUGGGUUUCUAUUCCUCGUCUCUCAGAGGACUUUUUAGGGGUUGUAAUAUCUCUAAUUUUUGUUUCUGUUGAUAAUUUUUUUUCUUCCUUUUCUUCUCUUUGCGUUUUCUCUUUUUGGGGUAACGGUGUAAUCGCCCCCUAUUUGUGUGUGUGUGUGUAUACAUUUUCUUCACUUUUUUAUAUAUACAUUUUUUUAAAACAACUUUUUUAUAUACACAUGAACACUUGACAUAUGAUUAAAGGGCACAAAGGGUGUCAAUCAAGUUAGGAUGUCUGGUGGUCUAUUUGAUGUCAUUAUGCUCAUGAUUGAUAAAAAAAAUGCAACAUUUAUUAUUCUUUUAUAAUAAUGUAUCUUUAGUUAUUGGAUUUCAAUCAUCUAUAAUUGUUUCAUUAACUAUAAUUAAUAAGGACAUUUUUGUAAAUGAUAUACAUUUUACUAUUAUGGUCUGUUUGAUAGUCAGGAUAAAGAGACAUGAUAUAAUUAAUAUAUAUACAUCAUAUUUUAAUCUUCUGUUUGAUGCACCAAUGAGAAAGGAUAAGUUAUUUCUUUUACUUAUCCUAUCAUAUAACUCUUCUGCGAUUUUUGUCAUACGUUUAAGACAUGCUUAAUACAACAUGAAUAUGAUCAGAUUUACAACAUGUUUGAUCUAUCAAAGAUAUAUAUUAAAUGUAUUAGGAAUAUCUUGAUCCAUGAUGAAAGAAUUCUCUGGCAUCAAUAUAAAACACAUCAGAAAAGAUAGCAGCAACAACUAAUUUGAUUCUUCUUUAAUUGAUACAUAUAUGCCCCAAACUCUCUUCAGACGGGGAGACAAGAUUAGAUGAUGUGUUGUGUACGGUGUAUUGGAGACCAUAGUCUUAUAUAUGGUGAUGACCAACUAGGGUUUCUCAUUAUUCCGUUAUUGAGUCAUCCAGACAUCAUUCAUACUAAGCCUAUAUUAAUUAAUUAAGGGUCUUGUUAACAAGUACCACCGAGACAUUCUUUAAGAAUUCUAAAAUAAGAAAUUAUUUUAUAGAAAAAUCAAACAAUUUUCAGGGACACUCAUUAACAUUUUCCAUUAAUUAAUUAUCUAAAUAAAAAUCUAAUAAGUAUUAUUACUUAAAUUGAUCAUUAAUUAAUUAAGACUUCAAAUUAAUAAAUAACUAAUAUAACUAUAUAAAAACUUUAAUCCACGUAAUAACAUUGAAAUAUAAUUAAAUAAUAAAAUAUUUUAAUAGGAGGUGUUUAUUGAGACAAGUCUUUGAUGGUAUAUUCGAUCGGCUCUUUUUGGUUAUCCCCUCUGAUUUGUUGAUCUUGCUUUGGUUCAUUUGUUUUAUGCACUUGUAUUUUAGUAUUUUUACCAUUCUAUCUUACCAUUCUAAUUUGCAUUUAUUUUUAAGCUUAAUUUCACUUUUGGAUCCCUAUCUUUCUAAAAGUUGUGGUUAUGGACUCCUAACUAAUUUAAAUACAAAACUACCCCUAUGUUUUGAUUCUUUGGCAGUUUUGGACUCCCAAUCCAUUGUUGACUCGGUCAACGCUGACGUGGCAUCUUAAGUGAGGUGCCACGUGUCAUUUUUUUUUUUUUUUUUACCUUGGGGGUCCAAAACUGCCAAAAAAUCAAAAUAUAGGGGGCUGUUUUGUAUUUAAAUUAGUUAGGGAUCCAUAACCGCAACUUUUGGAAAGAUAGGGGUCCAAAAGUGCAAUUAAGCCUUAUUUUUAUGCACUUGGUUAUCCCCUCACAUAUUUAUUUUUAUGCACCUCACACACACAAAAUGGAGGUGACGGGUUCGAACUCCGGUCAUGACGUCCGGAUUAACAAUUUUGACAUUUUGUGACAGUUAUGCUAGGAUUUAUGAGACCUCAUUCAUUGCGUUCGAAUGACUUAUUAAUUUUUUUUUUUGUUUCUUUAGAAAAAAGGUCCAUACAAACCGACAACACAUAUGUGAAAUCUACUAUGUUAUGUUACCUUCCAUUUUCUUCCGUGUUUCAGAGAUUAAGGCCAGUAAAAACCAACUUUGAAACCAUACAAACACAAAUUCUCCUUCUAUGCCUAACUUUUUGAAAAUGUUUCAAAUUUAAGAAGGUUCCAAUAAUUUUUUUUUGACGGAUCCAAAUUAAGGGUUAUUAUUACAUGAGUUACACGCAAGGGAAUAGUUGUUACCUCUUACUUUUAUAUUCAAAUAUGCAAAUUAAGGAGUAAUUAAAGGACUUGAGUCCUAAGAGGACAAAAUUGACUGGUACAUCAAACACUCUCCAACCCUCACGGCACGUCUCAAUACUAAUUAAUUUCUAUAGAUUGAAGAAGACUUGAAUAAGCUCUUUUCUCACCAGACAAAUUUAGUAUAUGUACUUAAUAAAUUCAGAGCAUUUGAGGCCUCACUGCCUUUGGUACCACGUACAUGCACAUGUACAAACUUUUCUCCAUCAAUAUCAUCAAUUCUUACACCACAAUGAUGUGCAAUUCAAAGAAAGAGAAUAAAUAAUCUUGUGCACCGACACCGUAAUCAAUCCAUUCAGGUGUUAAGGGCAAUUUAAUUAUCGCCGCUAAUUUUUCAUGCAUGUAUGUAAUUAAUUUGUAAAGCAAUGCAAUACACAGUUCCAUCACUAUUAUAAGAAGAUUUUUUUUUUUUUUUAAUUCAUUAAUUAAUUUAUGUAUGUGAUCUUAAUUAAAUGAAUCUAAAAUGUAGAGUUGUUUAUAAUAGUGAUCAUAGAAUGAAUAUAUUUAACGGAAUUAGACUCAAGUAUUUAAUGACCUCUAUCAAAUCACAAAUUAUUCAAUAGAAUAUAAGUUCGAUUCAUAGGAUGAAACUUUUUUAACCAGUUUUAUUUACCUUCUAAUGAAACAUUGGAUUAUUAACGUUCCCUUCCCCUUAAAACAUAGAGUUAACAAAAACCAAAAAAACACUUGAUAUUCAAUUUAGUUUAGUCUGGUGUGCAUUGAAGCAAACAAUUUGAAAUUUACUUCUCUCGUCUUACGAGACAAUUUCCACCGUAUAUUCGCCAUUCAGUCUUAAAAUUAACAGUAAAUGAUUUUUUUAUCAAAUAGCUUAGUAGAUAAAGCUCACACAAUUUAAUUAUGAAAAUUGAAGUGUCGAAGGUUUGAACCCCGACCCCUACAUAUAAAAUGCAAUAUCCCUGUAUAUUUGAUCUUGAAAUUAACCGUAAAUAAUGAUUAUAUAUAUAUAUAUAUAUAUAUAUAUAUGUGUGUGUUCUCUCUCAUUUAUAAUUACAAUAACUAAAUCCUAUUUAUAAGAAGUGUUGACGAAAUAAAAUUUAAUUUUUUUGAUUUUUUUAUUUCUUAUAAUAGUAAAUAUUGAUUAUUUUUACAAUAAAAUGUAAAAAUUUAUAAUGAUUCUUAACUAACAAAGUAAUUGGACUCAAGUGAUUGAUAAUUUUACCAAAGAACAAAUUGUUUAGGAAAACUUGAGUUCAAUUCCUAUGUAGAAUAAUUCUUUGUCGAACUUUACUUACUUUAUGAGACUCAAGUGAUUUUUAACAAUUCUUGGAGAGAAUUAGAUGGUUAACAAAAAUAAAAAAUUCUUAUAAACAAUGAACUGAAGUUUUAUCUUAUGAAUGAUACUCCCUAGAAUAUUAAAGUCGAAAAAUAACUCUUUAUUUCAUACAAAUUAUUGUUAAUUUUUUUUAAAAGAAGUCAAAGACAAAAUAGAUUUGAAAACACUUAUUUGAAACCCAAGUGUGCCUAGAAGGGAAUAAAUUCAGUACACAUUACAAACAAGCUAGAGUGAGCAACCGAAAAACGAAAAGAAAAACAUUAGAGAGUAAUAUUACUCAUACAAACCAACAAACUAGAUCACCAUGAAUUAAAGUUGAAGAAGAAAUUUUGUAUGUGCGUCUUCAACCAUUACCAUGAAUGAAACUUAAUGUAAUCUUGUAACCAGACAUUCGGUAAUUUCUUGUUGUUAAAGAUAUGUGUGUUGUGCUCUUUCCAUCUACUCCAAACAUAUGCCAGCCAUAUUAACCGAAGACAAAACUUGAUAUCCUUCCUAAACAAAUCCAAGGCACCAAAUUGUAAAGCAUGGACCCAAAUUUUAGAUGGUGGUACCAUUGAAACUCCGAAUGAGCGGAGAAGAAAAUUCCAAAUACCGCUGCAGAAAUCACACCUCUAGAAAAAUAUGAUUAAUUGAUUCCUUCAUCCCACAACCUCCAGAAGAUAAUAACAAAACUCCAGAUAACACGCCACGCCAAAUUUUUUUUUUGUAGGAAUCCUUUUUUAAAACAUUCUCCAGGCGAAUAAUGACACUUUCACAUUCAUAGUUUUGUUCUAGAUUAAUAUGGAAUGAGCGUUAUCACGAGGUUUCUAAGUUUGGGUGAAGAUUUCAUGAGAAUCUUUAAUCGUACAUUCCUUAAAAGAGUUAUGAUACCAAAUCCAUUUAUCUACGCUAGUAUCCUGCAAAAAAUAUCAUCUAAAAGAAAAAUACACUUAUUCAACUCAACUGCUUUUCCUCCCAAGCAACAAAUACCUUCUCCACCGCCACGCAUGUCAAUCUACCCACCACCCUUGCCGCCUCAUCUUUGCAACUGUAAAGUUAUUGUUAACACAUAAAUCAAACAGACGCCUAAAUCUAGACCGCAAGCACCCCCCAUUCAUCCAAGGACCACGCCCAAAAGAUGGGUCAGAUAUGGGCCUUAAAAUGCGUACGAAGUUUGGACCAAGUCAUAUUCUAAAAUGGCCAUUACUUUUCCCACCCUAUCCAUUUCUCGCGUCUUAUCUUUUCUGCAAAAAUGUCUAUGAGGUUUCAGAUUAUAUAUGAGCAGCAAUUCGAACUCUCUCAUUUCAGUAAUUUCGAAUUUCGUUUUUGAAAGAAACAACAAAAAAACACAGUAAAUUGAUAAAAUUUGUCAAAUAAAAUAAAAAAAUAUAAAAAUACCACUAACUUGAUCAUAUGAAAAAUGCAAAAAAAAAAAAUGAAAAAGGAUUUAAACGAUAAAAUUUUCGAUUUUGAGGGGCGGAGUCCUGUAAGAAGUUCCUUCUAGUGGAGUAUUGAUCCUUAAUUUUUUUUUCUUAUGAUUUUCGAAAAAAGUUUCGGAACAAUAUGAUUAAGUAGCCCGAAAACUGGAUUUUCGUCCGGGAACAAUUAACAGGCUCAUAAAACUGAAUGAUGGAAGUUAGGAAGAUUAAUGUGGUCCUUAUACUAGCUAUCCACAUUAUAAACAAACUAAUAAUUAUGAAGAUAUAGUUUAUAUUAUAUAAUCCGAACUAUUUUUCCUUUGAAUAAGCGUGUUUAAAGGGUGUUUGAAUUUUAUAAUCAGACAAAAAACAAAGAAUGUGUCCUAUUUUUUGAGUAUUCGGAAUAUAAAAUCCAACAACUCAUUUUUUUUUAUCCUAAAACAUGGUAAAACUCGUUUCAGAUUGUAGAAUCCGAAUAUUUAUAUUGAUAUGCCGUAGCCCAAACACUAUUUAAUCACACAUACAAGGCACUACAUACAAGGCAUAUAAUCUGACCUUCUGUUUCACACAUACAUAUGAACCAUAACAGUUACCAAUAAUAUCAGUCACUAUUUAAUCAUAAUACAUUAACAAGGCAUAAGACUAAAAUGAUACUAAUAAAUAAAGUUAGAGGACCCACAUAACACAAACCCUAACGUUUAUUUGAAUAAAACUAACAGAAAAGACUAAAUGUAGUAACGGUGAGAAAUUUAGAGGAACAAAAUAAAUCAAUUUUUAUUAAAUAGUUAGAGGACAAAAAAUUUAAUUUAGCCUAUAUAAUAUAAGUAUAUAUAUAAAAAAUUUCCUUAAAAGAAAAACUGUACGUAUAAAAUAUUCUGCCAACAACCAAGCACAAAGAUAGAAAAAAAGGAUUUUGUCUCUAAGCACUUCAGACAAGACAAAGGUGUGAUAGAAUGGAUUUGAGUGAGUUAAGAAAAGCGGUGGAAGAAGUUGAACUUGUGGAUGGUCAUGCCCACAACAUAGUUUCUCUUCAAUCCAACUUGCCCUUUAUUCAUGCCUUUUCUGAAGCUCAAGGUGAUGCUCUUGCUUCUUCACAACACUCUCUAUCCUUCAAGGUUCUUUCUCUUGCACCAUUUUCUCCAUUUAUAUUGUUUUAUGCUAUUUCAACAUAAAUAAAUGGACACAUGCAUGUUAAGGACACUGAUAUUUUGACACACAAUUUUUAGGAGAGAUAAAGAAUUUCUGAUGUAUCAUAUAUUAAUAUGUAUAAAAUCAUAAACUAAAAUAGAAUGUGGUCAGAAUAUGUUGUUCUUGUGAAAUUCUAGUAUCUAGAAAAACAUUUCCGGUGUGAAAUUCUAGUAUCUAUUCAAACAUUUAUGAUAUAUCUGAUAUGUUAAUAUGGUAUAAAGAUUACAAGUCAAGGCUUGGAAACUUUACUGUUAUUUUGCUUCCAAUAAUACUUCUGAUUUUGGCAGUGUCAGGGUCAACUUUGAAAUUUUACCGUUCACUCAGUUUAUGACAGCAUCACACUUUGUUGUUGUUUUGGCUCUAGGACUGGGAAUUCCACAAUAUUUCUCAUGUUCUUGGUUGUCAAUUUGAGAUUCAAAUCAUGUAUAAUAAAAAAUAUUUUCUGAAUAGUGAUUUUUUUUUUUUUUUUUUGCUGAAUCAAGAGUGUAAAGACAUUAGAGAGGCUGUACGACAUCCCAAUUAGGUUCACAUUCCUUAGAACCUCUAAUCCUAUGCCAAAAUAGGGCCCGAGGAAUGCACUUGAGGAACUUGUGUUGAUGAUACCGUUUCUGAAUUUGUGCUAUCAGAAGAAGCAUGAUCCUCUUGGUGAUGUUCAGAAUCAUCAUUAGCUUCAGGGUCCUCGGUAUCAUUACUGUUAUGAGUAUCAUCUUCCAUAACCUUCCUGCUGUCCUGCGCAUCAACAUCAGUAGCAGGAGAAUAAUUUGGUAACUGCAUAGGCACUUCUUGUGACUGUUUGUUCGUAUGUUGCUCAUCCUCUUCAUUUGCAACAAGCACUUCCUCUGAUUGUUUGUUUGUGUUAUGCUCUGUAGUAACAUCCUUCAGUACAUUUGCUGAUGGCAUCUCUGUAUCUUGGGAGGAUCACGGGGAGGCUGAUCAUCAUGAAUGGUGAUGAACUGCUAGGAAGAAUCCCCCUUCUUUUUGCGUUUUUCCGCUUUGGGCUUGUCGUCCAUAGAUUUUGGACGCAAUUUAUUACAGAGGGCCAGAGAAUGCCCAAUAGUAUAGCAGUUGGAGCAAAAUUCUGGUAGUCGUUCAUAAACUACAGUUAUGUAGAACACAUAUUUUUCACGCUCCACCCUCACCUCCUAAAAAAUACGCUUGGAGAGAUCAACAUCAACCAAAAUUCGUGCAUAAUGACCAAAUAAAAAUAUUUGGACCAUUUCUCGAUUUGUGCGUGUCAUCCUUGUGCAGGGGCCAUGCUAAUUUUUUCUGUAUCAGAUAUUUUGAGAUAGUAUAUCGACUUAUUAUUCAUGUCAUAAAUUAAUUGACAUAAGAAAGGGGCUCGCUAGACAAAGUUGAAAACAAACAUGGCUGACUAUACUAUGUUUAGGUAGUGGUUCAAUAGGAUAAGUCAAGGUUCAUCAUAGUAAAUCAGGGUUCAUCAUAAUGAAUCAAGUUUCAAGAUAAGAUUCAUGUUCAUAGAAGAUACACACUAGAAAUUCAUAUUGAUACAGUUCAGUUUUGUAUCUGUUCGAGAUAUGACUGGCCUGUAUCUUAAGAUCUUGAUAACCAUGCUUAUGUGUGUUUUAGUUUACAGUUCAACCUUAUUUUCUGUGGAACUUCAAAAUAUGGAAUCUUAUUAUGAUAGUGUAUUAUAUAUGCAAAUGUUCAGAGAAAUCUAAGGGAUUUAGCUGAGCUAUAUGGAUGUGAGUUAUCUUUGCAAGGUGUUGAAGAACACCGAAAAGUCUCUGGAUUGGAAUUGUCAUGUUCAACAUGUUUCAAAGCUGCAAGAAUCUCUGCUAUACUCAUGGAUGAUGGGUUUGAAUUGGACAAAAUGCAUGAUAUAGAAUGGCAUAAGAGUUUUGUACCUCUUGUUGGUAGAAUCUUAAGAAUUGAAAAAGUAGCCGAGGAAAUCCUUGAUCAAGUGAGAUGCUUUUUUUGACAUUAAUUCUUUAUUUUCUGACUAUUGCAUCUUUUUACUUGCAAUUGUAUUCAUAAUAUGUGAAACCCCUGAAGGAUUUGCCUGAUGGAUCUUGCUGGACAUUGGAUUCAUUCACUAAAGCAUUCGUCUCUAAGUUGAAAUCAUAUCCUUCACAUGUAUUACUAUAUCUCUCUCUUUACACACACAACAAAAGCUUUUAUCUUUACAAAAAUAUUCAACCACAUACCUAUGUUCCUUAGCAUCAGCUUAACAGUUGCUGGUGAGAUCUAUGGAUUAAAAAGUAUAGCUGCAUACCGCAGUGGCCUAGAAAUCAAUACAAAUGUCACUAACCAAGAUGCCGAGGAAGGUCUCGGACAGGUGUUACUUGGUGAGUAGAAUAUGCAUAUUGGCUUUAAAAUGUUCUGUUUCAAGGUACUUUUCAUACUCAUUGUUCUACAUUUUCAGCUCGGAAGCCUGUCCGUAUUGCAAACAAGAAUCUUAUCGACUACAUCUUCUUGCAAAGUCUGGAUGUUGCUCAAUCCUAUGACUUGCCAAUGCAGAUACACACAGGGUAAUGAAAUGGUCUUCAAUUCUCAGAUACACGUUUUUACAUGCGACCAUUUCUAUUUUCUUAAAUUAUUACCGGUGUCAUGUUUGAUGUCUGAGAUAGAUACCAUGAUUUUCCUUUUACUUGUAACACUACUUUUACCUAAAUACUAAAUUUCCCUUUCGGUAAUUAGGUUUGGGGACAAAGAUUUGGAUAUGCGACUCGCAAAUCCUCUUCAUCUCCGUUCAGUUUUCGAGGACAAGAGAUACUCAAAAUCUCGGAUCGUUCUUUUACAUGCAUCCUAUCCAUUCUCAAGGGAAGCAUCAUAUCUAGCAUCUGUGUACCCUCAGGUAAACAUUUCAUAACUCAGUGACUUGUUCAUUACUAGAUUUGAAUAUGGAUUACAUGUUCACUGGUAGGUAAUAACACAAUCUUCUCAUUCAGGUUUACCUUGAUUUUGGUCUGGCAAUUCCAAAGCUGAGUGUACAUGGGAUGAUUUCAUCAUUGAAAGAGCUUUUAGAGCUGGCUCCAAUAAAUAAGGUGACAUUAUAAGUGUAUCUUGCAUAAUAACCAAAAAAAUAAAUAUACAAAUUUAAAAUUUAAUCCAAAUAUUGAAGCCUUGUAGCAAAGUAUAUGUAUAAAUAUUAUUGAGAUUGAACUUUUAAUAUAAGUUUAGUCAUGUAUAAGAUCUAAGCUCUCCAAUUUCCAUACAAAUUUAUACUGUUAAGUGUCACAUUGCAUUGCAGGUGAUGUUUAGUACCGAUGGAUGUAUAUUUCCAGAAACCUUCUACUUAGGUUGGUUAACAUCUACCAUGACACCGAAAGUGAAGAUUAUACUUAAGUGCCACAAUCAAUUUUUGUUGAUUUCCACAUGUCUUUAAAAAUUUCUAUCUUUGUUGUCAUGUAAGUGUGAAUAUUCACUUGUUAACCAUAAUUAGUUCCGCUUUCGUAGGUGCAAAGAAGUCUCGCGAAGUUGUUUUCUCCGUUCUGCGUGAUUCAUGCCUUGAUGGUGAUCUCACUGUUCCCGAGGCUGUGGAAGCUGCAAAAGGCAUCCUUGCAAGAAAUUCAAUUCAUUUCUAUAAGAUUAAUCUUGCUAACAGUGUUAUUAGUUCAGAUAAUAAUUUACAACUAAAUGUGAUUGAUGACGAUUUAGAGACUGAUGUUUCAUUUAUUCGUAUAAUGUGGGUUGAUAACUCGGGACAGCACAGAUGUCGUGUGAGUUUCCACUAUCCUGUUUCUCUCACUUCAUUAGUCAUUUUUUCACCUAGAGAUUUUUUUAUAUUUAUAUAUAUGUUAUGAGGUGCUGUCGAAUUUUGUUUCAGGCUGUUCCUAGGAAGCGUUUCAAUGAUUUUGUUUCGAAGAAUGGCGUUGGUUUAGCUUUUGCGACUAUGGGAAUGACCUCUUUUUUAGAUGGACCUGCAGCUGGGUCAGGGUUAGGUGCAGUUGGAGAAACAAGAUUAACACCUGAUUUGUCUACUAAAAGGAGGAUUCCUUGGUACACAAGUUCUCUCUUACGAGGACGUUCUGAGCUUGUUUAUCUUGUUACUUAAGUUCUAACUUCAAAUAAUUUUAUUUCUAUUUUUUUUCUCUUAAGUGUGACUAUCACUAUUUUAUUCAUCGGAUGAAACUCUGUUCCAUACAUUAUAGGAGCAAGGAAGAUGAAAUGGUUUUAGGUGAUCUAAAUGUUAAACCUGGCCAAGCAUGGGAGUAUUGCCCAAGAGACGCCUUAAGAAGAGUUUCCAAAAUUCUGAAAGAUGAAUUUAACUUGGUAUGUUGCAUAGCUUGUCUUAUUUUUGAUGCCAUAUAAUGACACGGUUGUGUUUUAUUUUUUUCUCUUCUUCUUCACUCAACAAUUAUGUUGGGUGUAUUUAUGUACGGUGUCAAAUUUAUGAUAUUCAAAUGACACUACUCUUAACUUAUAGUCUGCUUAUAGGUAAUGAAUGCAGGUUUUGAGAAUGAGUUUUUUCUCUUGAAGAGCAUAACAAGGUAUGGCAUACAAUAUUAUUUUGUGAUUUGAUUAGUGCAAUUUUCUAUGCCAAUCAGUUAUAAACAUGAAGAAAUAAACCAUUCAGGGAGGGGAAAGAAGAAUGGAUACCAUUUGACUCGAGUCCUUACUGUUCCUCAUCAGCAUUUGAUGCAGCUACCCCAGUACUUCGCGAAGUUGCUUCUGCUUUACAUUCCAUGGGCAUUCCUGUAGAACAGGUAAAAAAAGAGUUUUUAACUUGGUCAGUUAUAAAUGAGAUAUGAUAAUGGCUUUGUUUGAUUUUCAUUUGAUUUAAUUUUUCUACACAAAACUGUUUUCACAUAAAGUAAGCAAAAUUACUUUCAUGAUAAACUAAUUACAAUCUUCAAAUCAGAAGUUAUGAUAGUUACUGUGACACUUCAGAAACAUAAAGUAAGCAUUGAAUGUCGCCACAAACAUGAAUCAUUUUAGGUUUUUAUGCAUAAACAAAGUCCCUAAAAGGAGAAUGCUUAAUUAGGCCUUUGCUGGCCUUUUAUAUGGUAUUCAGAAGCUUCCUUUUAUAUUAAUUAAUUACAACUCUCUUGAGUUAGUUACAACUCCGUUAGACAGUUACUGGUUUUUAUGACAUACUUAUCUUUUUCAAUCAAUUCAACAUGUUCAUUAUGCAAUCUCUUACACAUGUAUCCCAUUGUCUGGAACAUGUAUUUAUUUAUUUUUUUCGUUUGUUGUAAAAUAUUGCAGUUACACGCAGAAGCUGGAAAAGGUCAAUUUGAGCUGGUUUUGGGACAUACCAUUUGUACUAAAUCUGCAGACAACUUAGUUUAUACACGUGAAACUGUUCGGGCAAUUGCCAGAAAACAUGGCUUGCUUGCUACUUUUAUUCCAAAGUAAGUGGGAAUAAUAUGUUCCGUGUAAGUAUGACAUAUUAUAUAUCCGUGUGUUGUUUAGAUUUCGAAUAUAAGAUUUUGAAUAAGUGUCUAUGAUGUGGUAAAUGCAUUCUAUUUUAUUCCGAAACUACAGAAGCAACAUAAUUUUAUGGUGAAAAAACAUGGUUGUGCAAGUAGACAGCAAUACCCUAAUGAUAUGGAACUGUUAUUUUAAUAGUAUUUAAAGACUCGAGGGUGUUUGGAUAAACAACGUAAUUAAAUUCUUAUUGUAUUAUGCAUAUGGUAUUUUAGCACAAUUAGUGUUUACGUAGGUAAGCUCUAUAUAGGCUCUGUAUAAUUUUUUUGGAGAGUUUAUAAAAAUAAGUUGAAAACGAAUUAUGAACAUAUCACAAAGUAUAAAAACAUAUCCAUCUAUGGAAAAAAUACUGAUGGUGUUUGUUACUUGAGGCACAAAAUACAUAUCAGAAUUGGGUGUAUGGAGUCUAGCUUAUAAAACUUAAUCAAAUUUGAUGAACUUCUUUUUUUCCUUCCCUUUUAUAUAGCAAAAAGUAAACAUUUUAAAGUGUAUAACAGUGUUUUCUUGUGAUAUUGAAGGUACAAAUUAGAUGAUUUGGGUUCUGGAUGCCAUGUUCAUCUAAGUUUGUGGCAGAAUGGUAAAAAUGUAUUUAUGGCAUCUGAUGGAUCAUCAAAGUAUGGAAUAUCAACUUUGGGAAAAGAAUUUAUGGCUGGAGUUCUUUAUCAUCUUCCUUCAAUUUUGCCAUUUGUUGCACCACUUCCUUCAAGGUGUCUGUUAUCUAUAAUGAUUCAUUAUCCUAAUAUCUUGGAUUUUAUAUUUUUAUAUAUAAAAAGCAAUAUGGUAAACAUAUCAUUGAUGUUAUAUAUACUUUAUAUAUAUAUGUUAAUCUAGAGUUAUGUUUUCUUACAUCAUUACUCAAUUUCAUUGCAGUUAUGAUCGGUUGCAGCCCAACACAUGGAGUGGUGCAUACUUGUUCUGGGGAAAUGAAAAUAAGGAGGCUCCACUGCGCGCUACAUCGCCGCCCGGAACUCCCGGUGGUCUAACGAGUAACUUUGAGGUUAAAUCAUUUGAUGGUUCUGCAAAUCCAUACUUGGGCUUAGCUGCUAUAAUUUCUGCUGGCAUUGAUGGGCUUCGUCGGCAUCUUUCUCUUCCUGAACCUGUCGGUAAGAUAAUACAAAUUAUACGGUGUAUAACAACAUGCAUAACAAAUAGUGCUUGUUUUAUGCUCCUUUUUCUGUUUUGCAUGAUGGUUAUAUACUAUUGUUUCAGUUCAUAUAGUUUUCAGCAAUUAUAAAAAAUAUUAAUUGGAUAAUAAACUUCUUAUGCAAUAUAUAUGAAACAGAUACAGAUCCAAAUCCAGAAAACCUUCAGAGAUUGCCAAUAUCACUUUCUGAAUCUUUAGAAGCUCUCCAUAAGGCCGACUUUCUUGAGGAAUUUAUCGGUGAUAAGUUGCUGACUUGCAUAAAAGCAAUUCGAAAGGUAUGUUGACUUAGAUGCUUUUAAAUCUAUAACCUAUGAAAAGCUUUUUAGUACUUGGAUAGUUUUUUGGGGCCUUUCACGCAGUAGCAAACCUCAGUCGUAGGAUGAAAGAUCGGACAACUCAUUUUAAGUUGUAUUUAAGACAACAUAGUUAAGUCAGAAUACGACUCAUCUGAUCAUCAUCCAACGAUUAUGAUCGCGUGUUUCUACUGCCUGUAGAGAAUCUGAUUUCUUGGUUUGCUGCAUAAAAUCUGAAUUCCUACCUAAAAAAUUAGCUGAUACAUAUGCAGUGAUAUAAUAAAUGCUUAAUUAUGUUGUUUAUCCAAAUAUGGCCUUUAUGUUUCUUAAUAAUUCUUAUAAAUAGCUUUAAGUACAAAGCUUCAGGGUUACUUAUUCUUUAAAACCAUCUAGUAAAUAAGUAAUUCAGAAAAAAAGUAGAAAACAUCUAAAGAGUAUCUGUAAAUAUGUGAUUCUCUCAACCAAGCUACUGAUUUUGAUUCUUAAUGUGACUUAUGAUGAUGCCAGGCUGAAAUUGAUCAUUACUCGGAGAACAAGGAAGCAUACAAGCAGCUCAUACACCGUUAUUAGGCUAGCUGUCUUUUUUUUUUCUUCAUGUGUAAUGAGUAAUGACUGGUCAGCGCAUUAUUUAGAUUAUGGAGAAUUUUUCACAUUAGAAAUUUUCAUAGCUUGCAUUACACUUUUGAGUUUAAUAGUUCUAAUAAAAUUAAGAAUAAUUGUAUCUCAUUUGGCUUGAGUUGUAUCUUAUUGCUGAUGACAUUUUCUCUUUACGGACAACUUAUUGUCAUCGAUAAUCAAUAAAAAGUUCUUAAUACUAACAGAAAAUGCAAAGCCAUCAAAAUAGAGUCAACAAAUUGGUCAGAGAAAAGGAAUAUGUGUCACAUGAUCCAAUAUUCAUGAAUAAAGCUAACCAAAAAUAUUAUUGAAACCUCCAUAAAAGGAAGCAAUGUUUGGUAAUGAACUGUGUGAAGAAUUUGGAUGAUUUCUACUCUCUUUCCCUCUUAAAAAACUGUUUAUUCUCUGCUUUUCUACAUCCAGUACUUGUACUUGGAUUCUAUCUUACUGUUAAUGCUUAGGAUCUAAGAAAUGGAUUUUCUUUGCAGCUUACUUGUAAUUUUCUAUAUUUCUUUGAACUGUUUUGUGGAGAUGUCAAUAGGGAAUUCUGAAGUUAUCCUCAAUUUGGGAGCUAAAAUUGAAACUUUUUGGUUGGAAAGGUGGUUCUAUCUCCUUGCUUGUCUAUGCUAAUAUUAAUAUACUACUAUGCUUUAUAGUAACCUUGACUCUUGGUACAUAGAGGUUACUGUGCUUUCUGUCUUAGCAUUAAUUCUCUACGCAUGGUGUGGAUUAGUGGAUAUGACUCACAACUCACAAGGAUUAGGGUGCAGUAGAGUUAAGCAUUGUGUGGAAUCAAAGUGGCUUUUAAUAGAGAUGGAGUGGAACUAUGCUUCACUCAAUUCAGUUACAAUAGUUUUUUAAGGACGUAAAAAACUAAUAUUCUUGCAACAUUAGUAACAUUUAAAAUAGUGUGAACCAUCAACUGUUACGGAUGGGUACAAAAGAUGUUGUGAUGGACAAAAGAUGAUUGCAUAGUCAGGACCACCAGAGCAAGUGAAAGUGCUGCUCGUAUUAUCGUAAGCAUAGCUAUAGGCAUCAGGACAUUGGUUCUUGAAAACCAUAGAGUAAUUUGUAGGUGGACAUGUCGCUUCGGUAUUGUAACUUCCACGACAACAAUAUUGAUCUGUAUUAAAAGCCAAGCAAGCACUCUUACAAGCAACGACACUCCCAUCAGAACCUUUUACUUGAAGUUCUGCGGGACACACAGCGUUGAUAUUUGCUGGACAACUAGCGGCUUUGCAAGGGCCAUUCCCACCUUGUGGAGUUACAAAAAUUGGCACGUUGAACCCGUCAACGUUGCUCACAUCGUAGAAAUCUUGUCCUCCAUUUGAUGCCAUGGUAAUUUCAACUAAAGUUGCUGGUGGGAUUGCGCCAGCACCAUUGCACCCCACUUGACCAGACCCACAAUCGGCUGUGGCACAACUAAACUUUUCUUUGUUGAUUGAGCAUCCGGUUCUUGCCCAAAAUCGACCAGACCAUGAAGAAGGAAGGUUCACCGAGUACGUCACUCCUUGUCCCAACUCAAAACCUGUUGUUGAUAAUUGAGGGGUUUGAGCUGUAGUAAAGGUUCCUGGCCAUACAGUAUAUCCACAUCUAUUCGUGAAUGUCACCUUGGCUCCUCCAACCACUGCAUACAAAAUGAAAAUAUUCACGCACGUAUUCAAGCACUAAGGUUAUUUUGAUUUGACACAAAAUGACAAAUGUUGCCUCAGCUGGAUAUUUGUUAUCAGAAAUAACAAAAACACCUGAUUGUGUGAAAAGGAAGUAAAAUUGAGCUAAAUGAAUUGAUUAAGCUUAUUGAAAAUGUAGUGGAAAAGAAAUGAAAUAUACCAUAGAAGAGGAAUGCAAAGCUAAGGCAGAGAGCAACACGUGUAAUCGCCAUAUUCUUGUUAUUGGUUUCUCUUUUCGG